AAAGGUUCAGAAAGCCCACCAAGGCCUGGAACAGGAGCAAAAGUAAUCCAAAGGUGUGACUACUAUCUAGCCAGCCUGGAGGUCUUCCUCCUGAUCAUCAUCUUCCUGAUUCUUGGGACUCUGGAACCUGCUGUUUUCCCUUACCUUCCAGAAUGUUCUGUUCACUGAUAACCCUUGAACAAGUUACUUGACUAUGCAGGCAGUAUCUGCUCUGUACUAAUCAGGACUCUUUGGGAUGUAAGUGACAGAAACCCAACUCCAACUAGCUGAGGCACAAGGGGAAAUGUACUAGUUCCAAAAAGCGUGGCUCAGGCAUGUUCCCUGCUCUAUGUCUCUGCCUGUUUCUGCUGUCAGCUGCCAUCUCAUCUUCUGGACUGAUCUUCUCCACAAAGCAGGAAGCAGCACCACAGUUCACAUCUCCUGAGUUUGACACCAGAGAAUAUCUCAGACUUCUCACUAGAGCUGAGUUCAAAACGACUCAGGUAAUUCUCUGAUUG
This 497-nucleotide long non-coding RNA is filed under the name Pan troglodytes (chimpanzee). RNAcentral's name for it is "long non-coding RNA NONPTRT002095". Lineage: Eukaryota; Metazoa; Chordata; Mammalia; Primates; Hominidae. The record is from RNAcentral.